UUGAACGCUGGCGGCAUGCCUUACACAUGCAAGUCGAACGGCAGCAUGAUCUAGCUUGCUAGAUUGAUGGCGCGUGGCGAACGGGUGAGUAAUACAUCGGAACGUGCCCUGUAGUGGGGGAUAACUAGUCGAAAGAUUAGCUAAUACCGCAUACGACCUGAGGGUGAAAGUGGGGGACCGCAAGGCCUCAUGCUAUAGGAGCGGCCGAUGUCUGAUUAGCUAGUUGGUGAGGUAAAGGCUCACCAAGGCGACGAUCAGUAGCUGGUCUGAGAGGACGAUCAGCCACACUGGGACUGAGACACGGCCCAGACUCCUACGGGAGGCAGCAGUGGGGAAUUUUGGACAAUGGGCGAAAGCCUGAUCCAGCAAUGCCGCGUGUGUGAAGAAGGCCUUCGGGUUGUAAAGCACUUUUGUCCGGAAAGAAAUGGCUCUGGUUAAUACCUGGGGUCGAUGACGGUACCGGAAGAAUAAGGACCGGCUAACUACGUG
This 489-nucleotide ribosomal RNA is filed under the name uncultured bacterium. RNAcentral describes it as "partial 16S ribosomal RNA". It matches the Rfam family "Bacterial small subunit ribosomal RNA", at positions 30 to 507 of the family's 1533-position model. The record is from RNAcentral.